RNAcentral lists this ribosomal RNA (474 nucleotides) under Kluyveromyces marxianus. RNAcentral's name for it is "eukaryotic LSU rRNA". It matches the Rfam family "Eukaryotic large subunit ribosomal RNA", at positions 112 to 629 of the family's 3401-position model. The record is from RNAcentral. Lineage: Eukaryota; Fungi; Ascomycota; Saccharomycetes; Saccharomycetales; Saccharomycetaceae.
AAUUUGAAAUCUGGCGUCUUCGACGUCCGAGUUGUAAUUUGAAGAAGCGACUUUGUAGCUGGUCCUUGUCUAUGUUCCUUGGAACAGGACGUCAUAGAGGGUGAGAAUCCCGUGUGGCGAGGAUCCCAGUUAUUUGUAAAGUGCUUUCGACGAGUCGAGUUGUUUGGGAAUGCAGCUCUAAGUGGGUGGUAAAUUCCAUCUAAAGCUAAAUAUUGGCGAGAGACCGAUAGCGAACAAGUACAGUGAUGGAAAGAUGAAAAGAACUUUGAAAAGAGAGUGAAAAAGUACGUGAAAUUGUUGAAAGGGAAGGGCAUUUGAUCAGACAUGGCGUUUGCUUCGGCUUUCGCUGGGCCAGCAUCAGUUUUAGCGGUUGGAUAAAUCCUCGGGAAUGUGGCUCUGCUUCGGUAGAGUGUUAUAGCCCGUGGGAAUACAGCCAGCUGGGACUGAGGAUUGCGACUUUUGUCAGGAUGCUGG